CUGGAAACGGUGGCUAAUACCGCAUAAGUGGUGAUGAUGGGAAUCGUUAUCACAAAGGUUUACUGCUUUGAGAGGGGCCUACGGCCGAUUAGCUAGUUGGUGAGGUAAUGGCUCACCAAGGCGAUGAUCGGUAGCUGGUCUGAGAGGACGAUCAGCCACACGGGAACUGAGACACGGUCCCGACUCCUACGGGGGGCAGCAGUGAGGAAUAUUCGGCAAUGGGGGCAACCCUGACCGAGCAACGCCGCGUGGAGGAUGACGGUUUUUGGAUUGUAAACUCCUUUUCUCAGGGAAGAGUGAGGACGGUACCUGAGGAAUAAGUCACGGCUAACUACGUGCCAGCAGCCGCGGUAAUACGUAGGUGGCAAGCGUUAUCCGGAAUUACUGGGCGUAAAGCGCACGCAGGUGGUUUGCUAAGAUUGACGUGAAAGCGCCUGGCUUAACUGGGCGAGGUCGUUGAUGACUGGUAGACUUGAGGCG
This 480-nucleotide ribosomal RNA is filed under the name uncultured bacterium. Its description in RNAcentral is "bacterial SSU rRNA". It matches the Rfam family "Bacterial small subunit ribosomal RNA", at positions 150 to 649 of the family's 1533-position model. The record is from RNAcentral.